This 495-nucleotide ribosomal RNA is filed under the name uncultured bacterium. RNAcentral describes it as "partial 16S ribosomal RNA". It matches the Rfam family "Bacterial small subunit ribosomal RNA", at positions 28 to 507 of the family's 1533-position model. The record is from RNAcentral.
GACGAACGCUGGCGGCGUGCCUAAUACAUGCAAGUAGAACGCUGAAGGAGGAGCUUGCUUCUCUGGAUGAGUUGCGAACGGGUGAGUAACGCGUAGGUAACCUGCCUGGUAGCGGGGGAUAACUAUUGGAAACGAUAGCUAAUACCGCAUAAGAGUAGAUGUUGCAUGACAUUUGCUUAAAAGGUGCAAUUGCAUCACUACCAGAUGGACCUGCGUUGUAUUAGCUAGUUGGUGGGGUAACGGCUCACCAAGGCGACGAUACAUAGCCGACCUGAGAGGGUGAUCGGCCACACUGGGACUGAGACACGGCCCAGACUCCUACGGGAGGCAGCAGUAGGGAAUCUUCGGCAAUGGACGGAAGUCUGACCGAGCAACGCCGCGUGAGUGAAGAAGGUUUUCGGAUCGUAAAGCUCUGGUGUAAGAGAAGAACGAGUGUGAGAGUGGAAAGUUCACACUGUGACGGUAUCUUACCAGAAAGGGACGGCUAACUACGUG